RNAcentral lists this ribosomal RNA (494 nucleotides) under uncultured bacterium. RNAcentral describes it as "partial 16S ribosomal RNA". It matches the Rfam family "Bacterial small subunit ribosomal RNA", at positions 28 to 507 of the family's 1533-position model. The record is from RNAcentral.
GAUGAACGCUGGCGGCGUGCUUAACACAUGCAAGUCGAACGGUGAAGCGCCUUCCUUUUUGGUGGGUGUGGAUGAGUGGCGAACGGGUGAGUAACACGUGAGUAACCUGCCCCCUUCUUCUGGAUAACCGCAUGAAAGUGUGGCUAAUACGGGAUAUUCUGGGUCUGUCGCAUGAUGGGUCUGGGAAAGAUAUUGUUUCGGUGGGGGAUGGGCUCGCGGCCUAUCAGCUUGUUGGUGGGGUGAUGGCCUACCAAGGCGGUGACGGGUAGCCGGCCUGAGAGGGUGGACGGUCCCACUGGGACGGAGACACGGCCCCGACUCCUACGGGCGGCAGCAGUGGGGAAUAUUGCACAAUGGGCGGAAGCCUGAUGCAGCGACGCCGCGUGAGGGAUGGAGGCCUUCGGGUUGUGAACCUCUUUCGCCAAUGAAGCAGGCCUGCCUCGUUUGUGGGUGGGUUGACGGUAGCUGGAUAAGAAGCGCCGGCUAACUACGUG